AUUCAGCUGAUGAGUCCAAAUUAGGACAAAAUGCAAGUCCUGGAU
This 45-nucleotide non-coding RNA is filed under the name Schistosoma bovis. The record is from RNAcentral. RNAcentral also lists the same sequence under 1 other name. Lineage: Eukaryota; Metazoa; Platyhelminthes; Trematoda; Strigeidida; Schistosomatidae.